UAUAAUAAUGCCUUGAGGGAAAUGUAAUGGGGGUGAAAAAUAGAGUACGAUGUGUUAAAUAUAACUGUUAAGAACACAGACACACGUGAAAAAUGAUAGGCACGAUCUGAAGACCAUUAAAACUCAUCUCUUUGUGCUAUAUCUCCAACUUUAAAAUUUUAAACCCUAGCCUCUCUCUCUUCCUAUGUACGCUUUUUCUCUCUCUAGGUCGGCUGAGGUUCACCUAAUUAAGAGACCAUACACAAACACCUUCUCUCAUCACUUUCUUGUGACGAAAUUUUCAAUGUGUUAUAUACAUGAAAUUAAUUUCUUGUUUCCUCAAAAGGGUACAUACAUAUGCUCAUGCCUCAUCAAUGGAGGUAAAUUUAGCUUUUCUUGUUUUAACAUUUCUAGAAAUGAUUCCUUUUCAAAAAACAAACAUUUCUAGAAAUGAUUGGUCUUUAUUUCUACAUCUAUUUAUAGGGACGCAUCAUUUUUUUAGGUAUUGAAUGUUUCCAGCGGUACACCUAUUCCCCACUGCGGGACUAAAAAGAUUGUCUCCAUUCAACUUGUUUUGCAGUUGUAAACAUUAUUUAUCAGAAAAAGAAAAUAAAAAAAAUAAAAAUAAAGUGCAGUAUAAGAAUAACAAAGGAACGCACCUAAAAGAAAGAAGAAGCCAAAAGGGUGUGUUCUCUUUUACUAUGCAAGAGAACUAAUUUUUUUUUGCUUCUUUUUUUUGUUUCUUUUCU
Molecule: long non-coding RNA, 728 nt
Filed under: Brassica napus (rape)
Lineage: Eukaryota; Viridiplantae; Streptophyta; Magnoliopsida; Brassicales; Brassicaceae
Description: long non-coding RNA (BNAP_LNC010908)
Source: RNAcentral